Molecule: ribosomal RNA, 484 nt
Filed under: uncultured bacterium
Lineage: Bacteria
Description: partial 16S ribosomal RNA
Rfam family: Bacterial small subunit ribosomal RNA
Source: RNAcentral
GACGAACGCUGGCGGCGUGCUUAACACAUGCAAGUCGAACGAUGAACCCGGAGCUUGCUCCGGUGGAUUAGUGGCGAACGGGUGAGUAACACGUGAGUAACCUGCCCUUGACUCUGGGAUAACUGCGGGAAACUGUAGCUAAUACCGGAUACGACCCUCGGCGGCAUCGCCAGGGGGUGGAAAGAAUUUCGGUCAAGGAUGGACUCGCGGUCUAUUAGCUAGUUGGUGAGGUAACGGCUCACCAAGGUGACGACGGGUAGCCGGCCUGAGAGGGUGACCGGCCACACUGGGACUGAGACACGGCCCAGACUCCUACGGGAGGCAGCAGUGGGGAAUAUUGCACAAUGGGCGCAAGCCUGAUGCAGCAACGCCGCGUGAGGGAUGACGGCCUUCGGGUUGUAAACCUCUUUUAGUAGGGAAGAAGCGAAAGUGACGGUACCUGCAGAAAAAGCACCGGCUAACUACGUGCCAGCCGCCGCCGUAA